UCCGUAGGUGAACCUGCGGAGGGAUCAUUACACAAUAUGAAAGCGGGCUGGAAUCCUUUGGGGUUACAGCCUUGCUGAAUUAUUCACCCGUGUCUUUUGCGUACUUCUUGUUUCCUUGGUGGGUUCGCCCACCAUAGGACAAACCAUUAAACCUUUUGUAAUUGCAAUCAGCGUCAGUAAAAAAAUUAAUAAUUACAACUUUUAACAACGGAUCUCUUGGUUCUGGCAUCGAUGAAGAACGCAGCGAAAUGCGAUAAGUAGUGUGAAUUGCAGAAUUCAGUGAAUCAUCGAAUCUUUGAACGCACAUUGCGCCCUUUGGUAUUCCAAAGGGCAUGCCUGUUCGAGCGUCAUUUGUACCCUCAAGCUUUGCUUGGUGUUGGGCGUCUUGUCUCCAGUUCGCUGGAGACUCGCCUUAAAGUAAUUGGCAGCCGGCCUACUGGUUUCGGAGCGCAGCACAAGUCGCGCUCUCUUCCAGCGAAGGUCAGCAUCCACAAAGCCUUUUUUCAACUUUUGACCUCGGAUCAGGUAGGGAUACCCGCUGAACUUAAGCAUAUCAAUAAGCGGAGGA
This 568-nucleotide ribosomal RNA is filed under the name Alternaria alternata. RNAcentral's name for it is "eukaryotic LSU rRNA". The stretch from base 197 to 350 matches the Rfam family "5.8S ribosomal RNA". The record is from RNAcentral. Lineage: Eukaryota; Fungi; Ascomycota; Dothideomycetes; Pleosporales; Pleosporaceae.